CCUACGGGUGGCAGCAGUGGGGGAUAUUGCACAAUGGGGGAAACCCUGAUGCAGCGACGCCGCGUGAGGGAAGAAGGAUUUCGGUAUGUAAACCUCUGUCAGCAGGGAAGAAAAUGACAGUACCUGACCAAGAAGCCCCUGCUGACUACGUGCCAGCAGCCGCGGUAAUACGUAGGGGGCGAGCGUUAGCCGGAUUGACUGGGUGUAAAGGGAGCGUAGACGGUUAUGUAAGUCUGGAGUGAAAGCCCGGGGCCCAACCCCGGGACUGCUUUGGAAACUGUGUAACUGGAGUACAGGAGGGGAAGGCGGAAUUCCUGGUGUAGCGGUGAAAUGCGUAGAUAUCAGGAGGAACACCGGUGGCGAAGGCGGCCAGCUGGAAUGAAACUGACGCUGAGGAGCGAAAGCGUGGGGAGCAAACAGGAUUAGAUACCCUAGUAGUC
RNAcentral lists this ribosomal RNA (440 nucleotides) under uncultured bacterium. RNAcentral's name for it is "partial 16S ribosomal RNA". It matches the Rfam family "Bacterial small subunit ribosomal RNA", at positions 338 to 795 of the family's 1533-position model. The record is from RNAcentral.